This 388-nucleotide ribosomal RNA is filed under the name uncultured bacterium. RNAcentral's name for it is "bacterial SSU rRNA". It matches the Rfam family "Bacterial small subunit ribosomal RNA", at positions 370 to 772 of the family's 1533-position model. The record is from RNAcentral.
AAUGGGCGCAUGCCUGACCCAGCAACGCCGCGUGAGGGAAGAAGGUCUUCGGAUUGUAAACCUCUGUCCUUGGGGACGAAAAAAAUGACGGUACCCAAGGAGGAAGCUCCGGCUAACUACGUGCCAGCAUCCGCGGUAAUACGUAGGGAGCGAGCGUUGUCCGGAAUUACUGGGCGUAAAGGGUGCGUAGGCGGCUAUGCAAGUCAGAUGUGAAAUCCCCGGGCUUAACUCGGGUGGUGCAUUUGAAACUGCGUAGCUUGAGUGCAGGAGAGGAAAGCGGAAUUCCUAGUGUAGCGGUGAAAUGCGUAGAUAUUAGGAGGAACACCAGUGGCGAAGGCGGCUUUCUGGACUGUAACUGACGCUGAGGCACGAAAGCGUGGGGAGCAAA